AUUCUGCCCAUGCGGGGAAGGAUGAGAAGCUUCGACUAAGGUUCGGCUCGAGCGUCAGCGAGAGAGCGUUGCCGCAGGCAACGACCUGAAGGGCGAAGCGCGCAGCGCUGAGUAAUCCUUCCCCCACCACCA
RNAcentral lists this small RNA (132 nucleotides) under Escherichia coli. RNAcentral's name for it is "RtT sRNA". It matches the Rfam family "RtT RNA". From Rfam's summary of the family: This family represents a bacterial cis-regulatory element known as RtT RNA. The exact function of RtT is unknown although it is thought that it may be involved in changing the cellular response in relation to amino acid starvation. The record is from RNAcentral. Lineage: Bacteria; Pseudomonadati; Pseudomonadota; Gammaproteobacteria; Enterobacterales; Enterobacteriaceae.